CCAUGAGGAAUAGCCAGCUGAAGAGGUAGGACAAAGUCAUUAUCAUUAUCCAACAUCUCAGCUUAAAGUGGUUUAUCAUUUUCCAGAAAAGAUCAACUCUUGAUGGAAAGGCAUGCUGGACAGGAAAGCUUUAAUGGGGAGCAAAGGAAGAGGAGAGCUCACAGCACGGGACCCUGGUUGGUGGUCACCCCAGGUCAGGGAGCACCAUGGAGAGUCCUAGCAGGCGGGUGGAGCUUUAGGACACUACCCCUCCUGUAACAGGCGUUGGAGGGUUGCAGAGGUAGAGAAAGAUGAGAGCCUCAUGAAAAGGCAAGUUCUCCACUUUUCACUUUCGUCAAAGGGAGCCUGGGUUGUAUUAUGAGGGGGCCGCAAAGCCACAGAACAGGGGACCAAAUACCCUCCUCCCCUACUGUCCCAUAAUGGGAGAUCUCGCACUGUGGGGAGCAAUGAGUUCAGAGUUCUCCCUUCUGCUUUUGGGCAUCAUGGACCCCCAUAUCAGGAGGUUGUAGACCAGCUUUGACUCCAUGUCUAGAAUCCGUGGAGGUGAGGACUGCAGCUUGAGCCUGAAGAUUCAAACAUGAAGGGUCUAUUUAUGUGAAGAACCGAGGACACACUAGAGUAAGUCCUAUCUUGAGAAAAGAGAAAAACAAGGUACAGAAGAUUGGUUCAAGAAUAAUGGGCCACAAUCAGAAGUGAAACAUUCAAUCAUCCUCAAUUCCAGACUUGGGGACUUACACCAAGUGACAAGAGUCAGCAUCCCAUGAGUCAGAGCUGGAGAGAGAAACCGGUGAAAGCAUCAAAUGCCAAUGUGCUGAACAUACUUGAGAUGCCCCCAGGAACUCCCAGAGCCAUCUCUGAGGACUGUGGCAGGGAGCUGGAACAGAGAAUGCUGACUUGUGGCUGCUCACCGCUGGUGGGGCCAAGAAGCAUAGGUGAGAGCUGCCAGCCAGAGAUACAUCCUUGCAAAGGGCCCCAAUUUUUCAGCCAGUUCAUCUCCUCACAGAGACGUUGGAGACAGCCCUGGCUGGGAAUGUGGAGAAUGGGUGCCAAGAGAUUCUCCUUGGAAGGAAAUUUAUGAUGCAUGAGUUGCCCCCACAUAUGCGGGGCCCUCACAACACAUCCCCCACCUCACAGAUGUAGCAACAGACAACAGAAAAAGAUGACAGCACUCCCAUCCUGCUAUAUCUGGCUACAGCUACUGUUGAUGAACUCUGGUCAAAGAACAAACCGGCAGAGAGGCUUGGUGAGAAAAUGGAAAGACCCAUAUGAGUGAGCGGAUUUGUUGUAGCUAAUUAAGGAAAACACCAAGCAUCAAAUUCCGUCAGACUCUUUUUCAUUUUCCAUACAAUUCUGACCUGAAUGGCUCAAGCCCCGGGCUGAAGUCAGGAGUGCAGUCCUCCACCGUCCUCUGGAAGGUGAAAGGUCACCUUGUGCCUGCCACUUAGCUUCACUGACUCUUCAUAACUCCAGCUGCAAUAAGAGGAAACUAAUCCCUGUGAGUUACAGAGAGGAUUUAAGGACUGACAGCAUUUUCCAAGUUUGAGUGUGAGAAGAGGAGAUCCUAAGAAACUGAAGCUCAGAGCAGGAAAGUGACUUCUCUGAGGUCACACAGCCAGUCAGUGACAGUCUCAGAAGCAGCAGCUGGAUCUCUUGAUACGUCUUUUGUGGAAUUCAGCUGGGACACUCAGACUGACCUGGUGGAUUUUUUGGCAAAGAGAAAACAAGCAAACAGCAAACAUGACCCAUUCCUUAUGCCUGAAGAAUGCAGCUCUUCAGGAAAACGCAUCUCUCAGAGCCCUCUCAACACUGAUCUUUCCAGCCUUGCUGCUGCUGAAACUUCUUCAGGCAGGCCGUCACCCUUUCUUUGGUCUUUUUUCCCCAAAGGAAUAACCAGUUCUUUCUUCUAAUUUCUACUUAAUAUUGUUGCAAUAGUGAACUUUUUCCUUCCCUCAUCAAAGAAGCUCUGGGUUGGGUCAGAGGAAAGCUGAUUUUAGGUCCCCGCCUUUGUAACCAAGCCCUGGUCUUUAAUUGAGAUCUCAGUACCAUCCCUGUUGCCUAUGGCAGAAAGACAUCUCCCGUUGGGUUAUGAAUUCUGAUUUUUUUUACCUUAAGUCUUAAGCACUCCCUACAAAUAAAAUUUUAAUAUAAUUGGUUUCGGUGCAUCUUGGAGCCUUUUAAUUACUCUCUGAAAGAUGCUUAAGCAACAGCUUGCUAUUAGGUUAAACAGUGUCAGCAUCUGUACUGUAAACACUAACAGGUUUGUUACCCUUUGCAA
This is a long non-coding RNA of Equus caballus (horse), 2275 nucleotides long. NCBI's taxonomy places the organism in Eukaryota, Metazoa, Chordata, Mammalia, Perissodactyla, Equidae. The record is from Ensembl.